This is a long non-coding RNA of Gasterosteus aculeatus aculeatus (three-spined stickleback), 10201 nucleotides long. The record is from Ensembl. NCBI's taxonomy places the organism in Eukaryota, Metazoa, Chordata, Actinopteri, Perciformes, Gasterosteidae.
CACACACACACACACACACACACACACACACACACACACUUAUUUGUAAUCUCUAGAUAGUGUUCACAUAUAAUUUGCCAAAGUCACAUUAGUCUUGUAAUUGGGUUUCAUGUCAAAUAUAGUUUCAGGAUUGUUGCGAUACAAGUUGUUACUGAGACUGCAGGUCUAUCAUUAUUAUAUUAAUCGUUAGCUCAACACAUUAUUAUUUCUAAUAUAGUAAUGAUUCUUAUUAUUAGAAAGGAUUCUGAUAGGGAAUAAAGGCUGUUAGACAUCCUCACCUUGCUGCUCUCCUCCUCUCCUCCUCCUGCUUUACUCUCUGCCUCCUCCUUCACCUCCUCAGCUUUGUUCACGCUGACAAAAACAACGCAAAGUUUGCACAGUGGUUUCUCACCAUGGAAAUAUGUGAACAUACAUACGUAGAAAUAUACACAAGUAUCAUAUUUAUACUCAUGUUUCUCUCCAUGCAGCACGAGAGCUACACGUGUGUGUGCGUGUUCUCCACCUGUCUGCUAGCUCCGCCCCCCCCUCUCCUCCUCCCUGCUCAGCAGUCAGAGCUGUGACGUCUGGCAUCCCAACUCUCUCCAGGAAACACAUCUCAGGAUCGGCUCGCAUGGCGUUGUAUCUCUCGUAGCCUGGUGAGCGACGCACACAUUAACACACACACACAAACCAUCACACACACUCACGCGGCACAGAUGAAAUAAUAACCUCACCGUGUUUGUGGACUCCAAUGAGGAGAGACUUGUCAGCUUCAGUAUCCCACCAAGCAGCUGGGAUCUCUAUGUAGUCGAUGUCUGGUAGAGACACCUCCAGUUUACUACACACACACACACACACACACACACACACACAGUUAAUAUGUCCCAUCAGAAGAAGCAUCAUCCAUCGAGCAAGGUGUCGUCACAAGACUUUACCUGGCAGGUAUUCCAUCCAGAGCUUGAUUGGCAGCUUCACCCAACACCUCCACCUUCAGGUAGUAUAGCAUCCUCACCCUCAGAAGCACCCUAAGAACAGACAGCGAUGGGGGGGUUUAUUCUACAUCAGGUAGAUCGCCUGCCAUUCAAAAAUAUAUAUUGUAUUAUAUUAUAUUUUCGGACACACGGGUCACCACGACCAUCGACCGCGGAAGUAAACAGAGGUUAGCGGUGCUAAUUAGCGAUCGCUGCUUCCUAACAAAUGUCAGCGAGCAGAAGGGGACGGAUGCUUCUGCAGCACUGACGAUCACGUCCUGACGCACAGAUGCGGUUUGAAGUGAUAACGGUAAAAGUAAUUGUUAAUUGUCACAAACAGAGACACUGGAAAGUCAACUUUCAAUGGUUGAAACUGGCUAGUAUAUAGUUCCAAUUCUAAUGGUAUGCCAGCAUAUAUGAUAAAUGUAAGGUAUACUCACUUUACAUAUAACACAUCAUUAGAUAUAUGGCAUUUUAUGUGUGGGUAGAUCGACAUGACUUUUGAGCUGAAAAGGUGUGGGCGGCCCUGGUCUACAUGGUAGCAGAGGACUUCCCACAGUUUGUGUCAUGUCUACUGACUUGUUGCAGUGCUGUUUCAGGUGCUUUUUGUAGCUCUCAUCCUGCAGCAACACAUCCGGGUUACAGUGGACCAGCCAGUCCGCGUUCUUCGCCUCAGGAACGUUUAGCUGGUUCUUCAUCUUCUUCCCCUUCCGACCGCGAGGCACCAGAGCCGAUAAGCCUGCAGCCCAAAAGACAAACUCAUAAAUAGAAAAGUAAACUACAUAAUACAACACAGCAUCAGGGUUCAUACACAUUUUGACCAAUGGAUGACUUUUCCAUGACUUCAAACUAAAUUUCCAUGACCAAAAACUGAGAAAUCUUGGUGUAUACACGAAACUAACAAAGUGAAUUCCAAGGCAUACACAGUGUUUCCCGUACCAAUCAAUUAGGUUUUUUUCACGUUUACAAUGAUCCACUAUGGAACCAUGCUAUGCUAGCCAUGCUAUCUUAACAAUGCUAUCUUUACCUUGCUACCUUAACGAUGCCACGUUAACAAUGCUAGGUUAACCAUGCUAUGGGAAACAUGCAGCGCUAACGAUGCUAUGCUAACGAUGCUACGCUAACGAUGCUACGAUUACGAUGCUACGUCAACCGCAGUAGCAGGGAGACCAUCACCGGAGUGGUUGAGCAGGUCCUGGUCCUCGCCCUCCUUGGUGGGUGUGAUCAGGUCCCAGAUGAAGCUCUUGAUCUUGUCAUCUCCUUUGUAGUGUCUCAGGCAGUAAACCAGCAGAGCCCUGAAUCACAAACCACAUCGAUCCUUCACACCAGGGACAGACAAAUGUCUCCCCUGGUCUAAGGAACUCGGCCUUCUUACCUGCAGAUCGCCUCCAUGUCUCUCUCUGUCAGGUGCCACUUAAAGCGCCCGUGGUUCAUAAUGUCCUUCCAGCGCCCCCACCUGGAAACACACGGGACAUCGGGAUGACAGGAAGAAGUGUUUGAGUGUGUUUGUGUGUGUGUGUGUGUGUGUGUGUGUGUGUGUGUGUGUGUGUGUGUGUGUGUGUGUGUGUGUGUGUGUGUGUGUGUGUGUGUGUGUGUGUGUGUCUCCGUACCCAAAGAUGAGCAGGUUCUUCUCCACCCUGAAGCACUCGGCCCUCAGGUACCGGCGGCUGCGCUCCCCCAGGCGACGGGUCCGACACGGCCGGUCCUCGGAGUCGCUAUCCAGCUCGGAGAACUCCAUCAACUCGUCGUCCUCGAAGGAGUUGUAGUGGCGGGUCUGCUUCCUCACGCGAGGGGUGUCAAUCACCAGGGACUCCUGCAGGAAGGGGGGGGGGGGGGGUAUAGAAUGAUAUAGAAUGUUAUAUUUAAUGCUAAAUAUACCAAACUGCAAACUUAUGAGGUGACGAUGGGAGGGGUUCUUUAGAAUUGUAUGUGUGGGUAUAGUAUAACGCAAUAUAUAAUGUUAAGUACAAUUGUAUCUAUAAUUUUCUAUAGUACAUUAUAUAACAAGAAGGAGGAGAAGAGCGAAGGACACUUCUCUCCUCCUUCUUUAUGUUGAAUUCUAUUUAUUCCUUCUGGUUUCUGUCCUUGGCUCCUCUUUCUUAGUCUCCUUUCGCCCUCUCCUCUUGUAAUUUGUUUGUGUCUCCUUUACUCUUCUGGUUCCUCCUUCCUCUCUUACCUUUUCAGAAUUGGAGUCUAGCUCCACCUCAGCAAUCUUGGCCCAUUUCUGCCAGAAGUUGGGGUCGUCCAGAGAAAUGUCGGUCCUGUUGCCAGAUGAGAUGAAACUGGCCUGAGGACACGACAGAAGAAAGAUGUUGAAAGUCACGACAACCUUCUCAGAUAGGAGACUGUGUCUCCGGGUCUCAGUUCUGUUUCAGGACUCGUACCUUGGCGAACGUAGACCCUUUCCCCUCCGUCUGGAUGGUGAUGGUCUGGGUUCGUCUCUGAAGGAUCUGAUCGAUGUCCUCCUCGCAGAACUUGGACCCCUCGUCCUCCUCGUCCAUCAGCGCUCCGUAAGCUCCUUUCUUCAGAAGGUCCUCCACCUCAAGUUUGGAGAGCUGCUGCACCUGAAGGAGACACAGCGGUUAGCUUUGGAGGAGAGUCCUCCUGGCCAUCCUGGUCCUCCUGGUUCUCCUGGUUCUGCUCACCCCGUUGAGGCUUCCCUUGCGGUUUAUGUCCUGGAGGACGGCCUUGUCCAGGCCCAGCUUCAGGCUGGCCUUGUCAAACAUCUCCCUCUCGUAGGAGUUCCUGGUGAUCAGUCUGUAGACCUUCACGGCUUUGCUUUGACCAAUCCGGUGACACCGCGCCUGAGCCUGAAGGGAGGAAACGUACCAUUAAUAUCACCAGGAAGAGUCCCCACAAUGCACUGGGGGGUAACUGAAGUCUGUGAUUCUUCAUCCUGAAAUCUCUGUGAAACAUCUGUAAGCAGCUGCAGUUUCAUAAUUAAUUAUUUGUGUAAAAUAUUUUCUUAUGUUACUAAUUUGGAAUAAACUGUUAAAUGCAGUAAUUCUCAUCUUAAUAUGAUCAACUGAGCUUUUACUAAACUCGUUUUGACCCUUGACAGGUCUGAAAUACAAUAUUAUAUACAUAUGUAUAUAUAAUAUACAUCGUUGGGUCGUUCUGACCUGCAGGUCGUUCUGGGGGUUCCAGUCCGAGUCGAAGAUGAUGCAUGUGUCGGCGGCUGUGAGGUUGAUGCCCAGCCCUCCGGCCCGGGUACACAGCAGGAAGACGAAGCGGUCAGAGUCCGGCUUGCAGAAGCGGUCAAUGGCGGCCUGGCGCAGGUUCCCCCUCACGCGACCGUCAAUGCGCUCGUAGGUGUACCUGCAGAGAAGGAGCCGUUAUUAAGGUCCAUCGUUACGAUGGUCUCCUUCCCGCCGGAGCUCACCUCCUCUGGAUCAGGUAGUCCUCCAUGAUGUCCAAGCAGCGGACCAUCUGGGAGAAGACCAGCACCUUGUGUCCACCUGCCAGCAGUUUGGGCAGCAGCUUGUCAAUCAAAACCAGCUUCCCGGCCGCCUGGAUCAUGGCCUGCAGCUGGAAGUCCAGCGCAUCGGGACUGUGGUACUUCCUGAAGCUCUCCAGGAUCUUCUCCUCCGCCCCUGAAGAAGGUCAUCAAGAGGAGAAGGAGGAGACAUGAGACGUUUCAGGAAUUAGGAAUCAGGAAACAUUUAUUGCCAAAAUAUGUCAUACAUACAAGGAAUUUGACUUUAAUAAAGUUAAAGAUAUUUAAAAAAUAAAGUGCACUAGUGAACAAGUGACAAAGUGACGAGUGAGAAAUGACAGUAAAGUGACGUGUGCAGUGAGAAGGAGAGUGACCGGUGGGAUGUUAUAGUCAGUCAGUGGGGGACCGGCUCUGUUGAUGAGCCCGACUGCCGACGGGAAGAAACUGUUGGUGUGGCGGGAGGUCUUAGUCCUGAUGGACCUCAGCCUCCUGCCAGAUGGAAGGGGCACUAACAGGUUUUGUCCGGGGUGAGAGGGGUCGGCCACGAUCUUUUUAGCUGCUUCAGAGACCUGGAAGCGAACAAGUCCUGCAGGGACGGCAGAUUGCAGCCGAUCAGCCUCUCUGCAGAGCGGAGGACACGCUGCAGCCUGCCCUUGUCCUUGGCUGUGGCUGCAGCGUACCAGACGGUGAUGGAGGAGCAGAGGAUGGACUCCGUGAUGGCCGUGUAGAAGUGGACCAUCAUCGUCUUUGGCAGGUUGAAUUUCUUCAGCUGCCUCAGGAAGAACAACCUCUGCUGAGCCUUCUUGGUGAUGGAGCUGAUGUUCAGCUCCCACUUGAGGUCCUGGGUGAUGAUGGAGCCCAGGAAACGGAAGGAAUCCACAAUAGUGACGGGGGAGUCACACAGGGUGAUGGGGGAGGGUGGGGCUCUGUUCCUCCUGAAAUCCACAACCAUCUCCACUGUCUUCAGGGCGUUGAGCUCCAGGUUGUUUUCAGAUCUUCAGUAUAGGUCGUAGUGAUGGGUAUCCAUACUGGUACUCCUAUUGGUUCUGUUCCUUAUCGAUUGGUGUGGGUACUUAUUAAUACUCUUAUUGGUUGUACUUAUUAGUUAUGUUGUUUUAUUAAACCUCCUCUAAUCAAUGAUGUCAGUGAUCAGGCUUCAUUGAUCUUCAUCAUGCUGCUCCACAAGAAGAUGUUUUUUACUUGUGAGGCUCUGAUCCACUUUUGUGGAACCAGCUUCCACUUCCGGGGGGGCAGACACAGUCAGCUCAUUGAAGGUAAAGACUUUCCUCUUUAUAGCACUUAUAGUUAGGGCUGGCUCAGGUUAAUCUGGACCAGCCCUUAGAUAAACUGCUAUAAACCUAGACGGCCCUUCUAUAACAAUUCACAUCUCAUUAAUCUCACUAAUUCAGCUUCUUCCCCAUCAUGGUUCUAUCUGAACCCUGUUCCUUCCAUCACUAUUAUUGAUGGUAUUAUAUUAACAAUACUGUCAUCAUAAACACAGCCCACUUUGCUUAUUUCCUGAAGUUUUUAUGUUUUCCCUCUGUUAAGAUCGCAGGGCCCUGUUCCUCGUACGUGGCUAACUUUGUUAGCCGGAUCACCUUCAGGAUGAGAUGACCUAGUUCAGGCUUUUCGGUUUCGCAAAGCUGGUUUGUCUAAAUCACCACAGCAACACAUCGAAAAUCUUGAACCUGCUCCGGUGCAGCUUCAUCUGAGCUGCUGGAUCAGUUCAUCACUCCUCCGGAAAAAAAGGGCAGCUCUCUUCCUCAUUGAUGAAGGAGCGACAUCAGUUAGAUGAACGUUUUAUAGGGAGAGACUUCUCUGAGAUCAAAGACCCGUUUAGCCGCCAUGACGUCCUGUACGAGCGCUGCAGACAUCUGUAGCGCUCGUACAUUUCCCCGUUACGUGAUAAACACCACACGCUGCAGCCGAGCGUCCACCGCAGACUGUCUCACUUACGGUCUCCCACUGUCUCUCAUACAAUGUCUAACACACUCUCUCAUGUCUCCCACACUGUCUCUCGUACUGUACAUGUCUGGGUGGCGCAGGAGUAGAGACGGAGCGCUGGGAACCGCAAGGUUGGUGGUCCGAGAAUGUAAAAAGCUGUGAGUUAAAAGCGUCAGCUAAAUGACCUGUAAUGUGAUGUACAGUGUUGCUAUGCAGAGAACAUCUGGAAAAGCUGCUCUUCGUAAAGUUCAGUUGGUUUAUUUGUUGCUUAAUAAACCUCUGGAUGUUCCACAUUUUCUGAAAGAGUUGAGAUCAUUAUUCUCUUUGGAUGAUGACGCUCUCCUUUAACUUUAUUUGACGUUAUACGGUUUUUAAAAAAUCCUGUUUUCGGUGAUCGACUCUUCCGCCUUCAGACGCAAGACGUGCACGAUGGUGGUUUUGUGUUAAGGUGGUUACAUCCCCUGGAUUACUACUCUCUGUAUUGUACAUAUUUUAGGUUCUGUACACAUGGCAUCCAUUGCAGUCUGUCCAUCCCUGUGGUCGGGCUCCUCCUCGGUCUCUACCUGAGGUUUCUCCCCAUCAAAGGGUUGUGAGGGUUUUUGGGACAGAGGAUGUCGCUGGUGUUCAAACUGUAGCGCCCGCUCAGGCAAAUUUGUAACUUGCAAUUUUGGGCUAAACAAAAUAAAAUGAAUUCAAAAUGGAAUUGAUCACAUUUGAGAGAACCAGUGUGUCGACUGGAGAAACAUCUUCUCUUUGCGGAGGCUCACCUGUAAUGAGGUACGGGUGGUUGCAGCACUUGCGGAGCUCCAUCAUGGUAUUGAUGAGGUUGGGCAUGUUGUGCUGGUUGGCUCCUUUGGACAGGAAGGAGAAGUUCUUCUCUAAGAUGGCUCGGUAAUACUUCUUCUGGAUGUUGGUCAGCUCCACCUGCGAGAUGUAGUGAACCCAUGAACCCACAGAUCUACAGCUCGCUCUUCCAGGUCCCCCACACCCAAGCUUCACACCGUCUCCACACAAAGGUCCAUCCUGAGCCUCCAUCCCAAGCUCCAAAGACAUGAACACAGACACUGGACUCCUUUAAGAUGGAACUAAAACCGUUUUGACUUUGUGUUAAAUCACUGUCAGCUAUUUCUUUUUUUAAUAUAGUUUGUUGUUAUUACCAUUACUGGCUCGGUGGCACUUUUUACAAAUAAAACAACACUAUUGUGUUUUGAUCACAUCCUCCACAAGAAAAUCAUCAAAGAACACCGAAACACAUCCGCGAGAAGAAUGAAUGAAAGACUCAGAGAACCGUUUACUUUGUAGGAUCUCACCUCGAUGAUGGUCUCCUCUUUAGGAGCCAGGUUCUUUUCUACAUCGUCCUUCAGCCUCCUCAACAUCAUGGGCUUCAGAAUGGCCUGCAGCUUUUUCACCUGGAGCAGAUGAGAUCAGAUGAGAGAGUGAGACACUCAGCUGCUCACAUCUCAUGGAAACACUCCUGUAAAGAGCUCCACCUGUCGACAUGAGUAUUCACCUGCUCGUCUGUUUUCAGGUCUCCGAACUCUUCCAGGAAAGUGCUCUCUGAAGGAAACUGCAGCGGCUCCAGGAAGUUCAGCAGGCUGAACAACUCCUCCACGGAGUUCUGGAGAGGGGUUCCUGUCAGAAGAACCUUGUGUUCCUGUGGGAGACAGAACGUAGAACCCGUUGCUUCUCAUUAACUGAGAACAUGAGGUUUAUUCAAACAAAACAGCCUCUUCCCCUACUGACCAGGUUCAUAAGCUUCAGCCCUUCCAGCAGUUUGCAGUUCCUGUUCUUCAGGGCGGUGAGCUUCGUCGAUGACCACGCAGCGCCAGUGGAGCUUCCUGAGCUCGGGACAGUCGGCCCAUGAUCAUCUCGAAGGUGGUGAUGAGUCCGUGGAACUUGAGCACCCCGGGGAUAGUGUUUCCCUGAGAUGGUCAUAUUUAUACAGGAUAUAUCAUUACAAUUCUUCAGCACCCCGUCCCUCCUACAGAACCACGUCCCUCCUUCAGAACCACGUCCCUCCUACAGAACCACGUCCCUCCUACAGAACCCCGGUCCUCUUUCAGAACCCCGUCCCUCCUACAGAACCCCGCCCCUCCUUCAGAACCCCGUCCCUCCUUCAGAACCCCGCCCCUCCUUCAGAACCCCGCCCCUCCUACAGAACCUAGUCCCUCCUACAGAACCCCAUCCCUCCUACAGAACCCCGCCCCCUUUAGAACCCUACCUGCACGUCUCUGUAGAACAUCUCGUACUGAUGGAUCAUCUGCCGGCUGAUCUGGGAUCCGUGGUAAACAAUGACGUUCAUGGGGGUCCAGGUACGGAACUCCCUCUCCCAGUUUGUGAUGGUGGACAGGGGGGCGAUGAUGAGGAAGGGGCCGCGGAUCCCCAUGCUGAAGAUCUCAAACAGAAAGGUGAUGGACUGGAUCGUUUUUCCUAGACCCAUCUCAUCCGCCAGUAUGCAGUUCUUCCUGGAGGGGAGACGGAGACAGAGUCUUUAACCAGAAGACGGGUGGAGACACAGCUGGUCACACAACACAAAGAGAAGCAACGGUACAAACUCACAUGCACUAAAAAGCACGCUCACGUGCACUAGCAUGCAUCAAAAGGCCAUGUGGUGCAUUCAUUUAAAUAUCAGAUUAUUUGUGGAACUGAUGUGUAGAUUUUAGAUUCAUUUUAUAAUUAGUUCCCCAUAAUAACUAAAUGUAAACUAAUGUGUGUGCGAGAGCAGCACUCACCGGUUGUACCAGUUGAAGAGUAACCAGUUCAUUCCCUCUAACUGGUACUCUCUGAGCUGGUUCCCAUUUCUGAAAUCUCUGGUGUUGUUCAGCUUCUGCCACUUCUCUGGAGGAGGACGAUCCUGCAACGCAAGCACGUGGAAACCUUUUAUCAGAUAUGAGGAGCGGGCAAACCAUCAGACUGUAGAGCUCCUGGAUUCUUUGGGUUCCAUCACAAAGGAGAUUAAAUAGCUGUAGAGUAUUAGAUUCGAUUAUUAAGGCUUCCCUUCCCCACUGGACCACGAGGAGACACCUGAAGAGGUUUUAAGGGAAAACAGUAGAGAACCCAAAGACGUUGUCGCUGUUUCCCUUGGGAUGUUUUCGUCACUUGAUGCAAUAGCUAUCUAUUUAUCCCGCAUCUUCUCAACAGUUCUAUCAGGUCAGUUGAUGUGUUGAGGCGUUUUAGCAGCUGGUUCUCCUGCUGGAGGAGCAACCCAGUCACAACUCAGUGUUGAGAAAGAAACCCAGAUGUUUUAUUCCGUAGUUUUCAGCUUGUUCUGGUUCCACUCACCAUGUGUCUGAGGUCUGCUGGCAGUUUCUGGAUGUGCUCAAACUCUUUGAUCUUCUCUGAAUCCAGGUCCUCCUGCAGCUCCCAGGUAGCCUCCUCGUAUGAGAGACUGCACCACUUCACCAGGUAGUGGGUGACCUCCUACAACAGCCCGCACAACACAUCCCACAGCGUUAGCAGAUGUUAGCUGGAGGUAGCGGAUGUAAGCACCAGGUGUUACCAGCUGUUACCAGGUGUUACCAGGUGUUACCUGGUCACCUUUGUGUUAUGUAAAGUUACCUGCUGUCAUCACAGCUGAUUUUGUGUGCUACCCACCUCUCCAGUCUCAGUGUCCGUGGUGACAGCCACCUCCAAGAUUCGGUCCACUUCCACAUAGUCCGGAUUAAAGAUGUCCUCAUCGGGCUGGAAGACGGGACAGAAAGACAACAAGACGAUGUUGAUUGAUUGAUUCCUCAUAGUGGAUCAAGUCAGAUAACAAUUUUAUAGAAUACAAAAUAAGCAAAAAACACCAGCGAUCAUUAAUGAAAUGUGUUCUUUAUUCUAACAGUGAUAUUUAUUUUGGUUUCUCCAUAUUGUUAUUGAGCCACUGUCA